RNAcentral lists this ribosomal RNA (1456 nucleotides) under uncultured organism. Its description in RNAcentral is "SSU rRNA". It matches the Rfam family "Bacterial small subunit ribosomal RNA". The record is from RNAcentral.
GAUGAACGCUUGCUACAGGCUUAACACAUGCAAGUCGAGGGGCAGCAUGGUCUUAGCUUGCUAAGGCCGAUGGCGACCGGCGCACGGGUGAGUAACACGUAUCCAACCUGCCGUCUACUCUUGGACAGCCUUCUGAAAGGAAGAUUAAUACAAGAUGGCAUCAUGAGUCCGCAUGUUCACAUGAUUAAAGGUAUUCCGGUAGACGAUGGGGAUGCGUUCCAUUAGAUAGUAGGCGGGGUAACGGCCCACCUAGUCUUCGAUGGAUAGGGGUUCUGAGAGGAAGGUCCCCCACAUUGGAACUGAGACACGGUCCAAACUCCUACGGGAGGCAGCAGUGAGGAAUAUUGGUCAAUGGGCGAGAGCCUGAACCAGCCAAGUAGCGUGAAGGAUGACUGCCCUAUGGGUUGUAAACUUCUUUUAUAAAGGAAUAAAGUCGGGUAUGCAUACCCGUUUGCAUGUACUUUAUGAAUAAGGAUCGGCUAACUCCGUGCCAGCAGCCGCGGUAAUACGGAGGAUCCGAGCGUUAUCCGGAUUUAUUGGGUUUAAAGGGAGCGUAGAUGGAUGUUUAAGUCAGUUGUGAAAGUUUGCGGCUCAACCGUAAAAUUGCAGUUGAUACUGGAUAUCUUGAGUGCAGUUGAGGCAGGCGGAAUUCGUGGUGUAGCGGUGAAAUGCUUAGAUAUCACGAAGAACUCCGAUUGCGAAGGCAGCCUGCUAAGCUGCAACUGACAUUGAGGCUCGAAAGUGUGGGUAUCAAACAGGAUUAGAUACCCUGGUAGUCCACACGGUAAACGAUGAAUACUCGCUGUUUGCGAUAUACAGCAAGCGGCCAAGCGAAAGCGUUAAGUAUUCCACCUGGGGAGUACGCCGGCAACGGUGAAACUCAAAGGAAUUGACGGGGGCCCGCACAAGCGGAGGAACAUGUGGUUUAAUUCGAUGAUACGCGAGGAACCUUACCCGGGCUUAAAUUGCAGAUGAAUUACGGUGAAAGCCGUAAGCCGCAAGGCAUCUGUGAAGGUGCUGCAUGGUUGUCGUCAGCUCGUGCCGUGAGGUGUCGGCUUAAGUGCCAUAACGAGCGCAACCCUUGUUGUCAGUUACUAACAGGUUCCGCUGAGGACUCUGACAAGACUGCCAUCGUAAGAUGUGAGGAAGGUGGGGAUGACGUCAAAUCAGCACGGCCCUUACGUCCGGGGCUACACACGUGUUACAAUGGGGGGUACAGAGGGCCGCUACCACGCGAGUGGAUGCCAAUCCCAAAAACCUCUCUCAGUUCGGACUGGAGUCUGCAACCCGACUCCACGAAGCUGGAUUCGCUAGUAAUCGCGCAUCAGCCACGGCGCGGUGAAUACGUUCCCGGGCCUUGUACACACCGCCCGUCAAGCCAUGGGAGCCGGGGGUACCUGAAGUGCGUAACCGCGAGGAGCGCCCUAGGGUAAAACUGGUGACUGGGGCUAAGUAA